AUAUUGUUUGAACACUUUGAAAUGAAUGAAAAUACACUGUAAGGGAGAUAGCAAAUCGUAACAAAAUAAGAAAAACUGUGCUAAAGCAUACUGUAACCCUUUGAGGAAACAGAGGUGAAAUCACCUUUUCUUUCUAUUGAGGAAAAUAUCCCAGAUGGCCUGGUUAGGUACAAAGUUCUCUAUCUAAGAUCUAAGGUCAAAUAGAAUAUUUAGAUCUUUACAAUAUAUAUGCCCGAAGGGGGAAAAAAAAAAAAAAAAAGUAGAUUUUAGUAGGUUGAGGCUGAGGCACAGAUAAUGGAAGACAAAUAACAAUGAGAAAACAUGCUGAGAGGAGGAAGUACAAAUUCUCCCUGCAAGAUGCAGGGGCCAACAUGGUUAAGGAAAGCCAAUCUUUUCCAGACUUUGGCCGGCUAGCUGUGCUGCUAUGGAAGUCUUUUGUAUCCAUCUCACUCAGUGGGAAACAGCAGGAUCAAACUUCUCUGCAAAAGAGCAUAUAAUUUUUUGAUGGUCUUCUUAAAUGUGUUUUGUAUCCUCCAUGAAGAGAUCAGCAUCACCCUGGCAUAGACUGCUGCCACCAGGAGCGUCUAGUAGGAUCAGGGAUAAUGAGCUGCUGCCCCUGUAGAGGAAGGAAGGAUGGUUUCUCAACAGGGAAGUCAAAGGUAAUUGCCAGUUUAUGGAGAAUAGUCGUAUUUUCAACUGGCUGAAAACGGUAUUGGAGCUUGGAGUUUGGAUCUCUAUGGUUGUUU
This 746-nucleotide long non-coding RNA is filed under the name Numida meleagris (helmeted guineafowl). Its description in RNAcentral is "lncRNA (ENSNMEG00000015030.1)". The record is from RNAcentral. Lineage: Eukaryota; Metazoa; Chordata; Aves; Galliformes; Numididae.